GGGGGGCUCGAGGGUUGAGAUGACGCUCGGACAGGCAUGCCCGCCAGAGUGCUGGCGGGCGCAAUGUGCGUUCAAAGAUUCGAUGGUUCACUGAAUUCUGCAAUUCACAUUACUUAUCGCAUUUCGCUGCGUUCUUCAUCGAUGCCAGAACCAAG
RNAcentral lists this ribosomal RNA (155 nucleotides) under Ophiocordyceps sinensis. RNAcentral's name for it is "5.8S ribosomal RNA". Lineage: Eukaryota; Fungi; Ascomycota; Sordariomycetes; Hypocreales; Ophiocordycipitaceae. The record is from RNAcentral.